RNAcentral lists this long non-coding RNA (962 nucleotides) under Mustela putorius furo (domestic ferret). Its description in RNAcentral is "lncRNA (ENSMPUG00000023870.1)". The record is from RNAcentral. Lineage: Eukaryota; Metazoa; Chordata; Mammalia; Carnivora; Mustelidae.
CAAGAGUCCCCUCCUUUGUAAAGUGAGCCAGAGUAUGACUAAUCCCACACACCCAGGUCCAUCCGGGCGAGACAAAGCCAGGGACCGUGCGCCUCUUCCCAGGCCACAGGAAACCUGGACAGCAGCCUCUGCCAACCUUUGAAGUGUCUGUUUCCUCAGCCCUUCAGGCUCCGGGGAGAGGCUCCACCUUCCACCUCUGACCCAACAGGAAGCAGGAAGAUUUUCUGCUUGUCCAGCAAUAGCCCAGUCAGUGAGCAUCUGCCACAGCCACAACCCAGCCAAUGAGAAGCCAUCACCACCCUGAACUCUCACUUUCCUCCAAUGGACUUUUCUUCCAAGCAACCCCUCCCAGCUUCUUCCUUUUUUCCUAGAAGGUAAUGUUCCUCUCUUUUUUCCUCUGGACUUGCCUACAGGUUGUCAUAGGUGUCUCUGACUGCAGUUUCUCUGCUAUUCCAGAAUAAACCAAUUUUGUGGCGAAACACCAUGUUAUUUUAUUUUCAAGGUCCAUAAUUACAAGAAGUUAGGAUUUCUUUACAGGAGAUAUGAUUGAAGAGAUCCUGACACCAUUGCAAAGCAUCUUAGAAACCUCCUCAAUGGCUAACAAUUCUGUGACUUUUGGUUGGGGGAAGGGGAGGGAGGAAGACAGGUUAUAGUCCCUUCUCAGAAAUCCCUAUGUGACAUAAUGGGAAAUAUAUAUUUGGUCUUUGUCUCUGGUUCCUGACACAGAGCUUCUAAUACUCUUGGCAUUUCCUCAGUGAUAAGAGUGUCUUUUGUUAUAAAUAACAAGCCCCUUUCAACCUUACCUGAGUUUAUGCUAAAGCGGUGACUCUUAGUGGGCCCCUGGGUAGCCUCAGGAUGGAUGCUGGUUGCCUGAGGAAUCAGCCCUGUGAUUAGAAGGUUGGAGCUUUCAGCCCUACUCUCAGACCUCCAGUAGGUGAGAGAGGCUGGAGACUGAGUCCAAU